Non-coding RNA from Arvicanthis niloticus (Nile rat), 1818 nucleotides. NCBI's taxonomy places the organism in Eukaryota, Metazoa, Chordata, Mammalia, Rodentia, Muridae. The record is from RefSeq and is a predicted model, not a curated record.
AUGGCAGCCCAGGCGGGUUUCCAGUCUGUGGCUCUGAGCGUGGUGCAGGAGCCUCAGGAGGAGCAGGCGUGGCGGCUUCUCUGGGCCCCGGGCAGAACUCCCGGCCUCCCGUGCAAAUAGGCCCUGCGCUGGGUUAAGGGCUGUACCGCUCUCCGAUGCCUGGGGAGGCCUAUCUGAGUUCAGGUAUGUUGCCAGGUAGCUGAAUGACACCUCAGGGACCUUCCAUGGGACCUCCUGGCUAUGGGAGGAACCCUUCAGUCCGACCUGGCCUGGCCCAGUCAGGGAUGGACCAGUCCUGCAAGAGACCUGCGCCUCAACAGAUCCAGCAGGUCCAGCAGCAGGCAGUCCAAAAUCGAAAUCACAAUGCAAAGAAAAAGAUGGCUGAUAAAAUUCUACCUCAGAGGAUUCGGGAAUUGGUACCAGAAUCACGGGCCUACAUGGAUCUCUUGGCUUUUGAAAGGAAACUGGACCAGACUAUUAGGAGGAAACGACUAGAUAUCCAGGAGGCCUUGAAAUGUCCCAUCAAGCAAAAACGGAAGCUGCGAAUUUUCAUUUCUAACACGUUCUAUCCGGCCAAGUUGGAUGCCGAGGAUGGGGAAGGGACAGUGGCUUCCUGGGAGCUCCGGGUAGAGGGCCACUCCUGGAGGACUCAGCCUUGUCCAAAUAUGAUGCCACCAAGCAAAAGAGAAAGUUUUCUUCCUUUUUUAAGUCCUUUGUGAUUGAACUGGACAAAGACCUCUAUGGACCAGACAACCAUCUGGUAGAAUGGCACAGGACUGCCACUACCUUGCAGUUCUCAACAACUACCCAGGAGACCGAUGACUUCCAGGUGAAGUGACCAGGAGAUGUGAAUGUGUGGUGUACGGUCCUGCCGAUGCUGGAUUACCAGUCCCCCCAGUUUAAAUUAGACCCUCUACUGGCUCCGCUCUUGGGCAUCCAUACUCAGACACGUCCAGUGAUCCAAGCACUGUGGCAAGAUAUUAAAACACAUAAACUCCAGGACCCUCACGAGCGAGAGUUUGUUAUCUGUGACAAGUACCUCCAUCGGAUCUUUGAAUCUCAGCGGAUGAAGUUUGAGAUCCCUCAGCGGCUCCAUGCCUUGCUUAUGCCACCAGAGGCCAUCAUCAUUAAUCACGUCAUCAGUGUUGACCCAGAUGAUCAGAAAAAGACAGCAUGCUAUGACAAAUGACGUGGAAGUGGAUGACACUUUGAAGACCCAGAUGAACUCUUUCCUGCUGUCCACUGCCAGCCAGCAGGAGAUCUCUAUGCUAGACAACAAGAUCCAUGAGAUAAUAGAAACUAUCAACCAGCUGAAGACCCAGUGAGAGUUCAUGUUGGACUUUGCCCAAGACCCUCAGGGUUUCAUCAAUGAUUGGCUUCAGUCCCAGUGCCGGGACCUCAAGACGAUGACUGAUGUAGUAGGUAACCCAGAAGAGGAGCACCAGUGCUGAGUUCUACUUCCAGCCCUGGGCUGAGGAGGCUGUGUGCUGAUACUUCUACUCCAAGGUGCAGCAGAGGCAGCAAGAGUUAGAGCAAGCCCUGGGAAUCCAAAACACACAGGGCCUCUCCGGCCCUAGUGUGGCUGCACCGAUUCCUUGGGCCCUGUGCUGCCUGCCUCAGUGUACCUGUCUUGGUCUUAUUGAGGCAUUCCAGGAGAUGCUGUUGGCUCCAGGAGAGUGUCAAAAUGAAGAGGGUGUCACACUUCUGUCUUACAAUCACCUGUUAUCCUUUCCUGCACCCCAGCCUCCCACCUCAGCUCCUCCCCACCAAGCUCCCAUGUGCCUCUACCUCCCUCUCCUACAUAGGACCUCUAGAUAA